GUGGGGAAUAUUGGACAAUGGGCGCAAGCCUGAUCCAGCAAUGCCGCGUGGGUGAAGAAGGUCUUCGGAUCGUAAAGCCCUUUCGACAGGGACGAUGAUGACGGUACCUGUAGAAGAAGCCCCGGCUAACUUCGUGCCAGCAGCCGCGGUAAUACGAAGGGGGCUAGCGUUACUCGGAAUUACUGGGCGUAAAGGGCGCGUAGGCGGCUCUGUUAGUCAGGCGUGAAAUUCAUGGGCUUAACCUGGGGACUGCGCUUGAUACUGCAGGGCUUGAGGCCGAGAGAGGGUGGUGGAAUUCCCAGUGUAGAGGUGAAAUGCGUAGAUAUUGGGAAGAACACCGGUGGCGAAGGCGACCACCUGGCUCGGUUCUGACGCUGAGGCGCGACAGCGUGGGGAGCAAACAGGAUUAGAAACCCCGGUAGUCC
Molecule: ribosomal RNA, 425 nt
Filed under: uncultured bacterium
Lineage: Bacteria
Description: partial 16S ribosomal RNA
Rfam family: Bacterial small subunit ribosomal RNA
Source: RNAcentral